CCUAGUAACGGCGAGUGAAGCGGCAACAGCUCAAAUUUGAAAUCUGGCGUCUUCGGCGUCCGAGUUGUAAUUUGCAGAGGGCGCUUUGGCAUUGGCAGCGGUCCAAGUUCCUUGGAACAGGACGUCACAGAGGGUGAGAAUCCCGUACGUGGUCGCUAGCCUCUACCGUGUAAAGCCCCUUCGACGAGUCGAGUUGUUUGGGAAUGCAGCUCUAAAUGGGAGGUAAAUUUCUUCUAAAGCUAAAUACUGGCCAGAGACCGAUAGCGCACAAGUAGAGUGAUCGAAAGAUGAAAAGCACUUUGGAAAGAGAGUUAAAAAGCACGUGAAAUUGUUGAAAGGGAAGCGCUUGCAGCCAGACUUGCCUGUAGUUGCUCAUCUAGGUUUUUACCUAGUGCACUCUUCUAUAGGCAGGCCAGCAUCAGUUUGGGCGGUUGGAUAAAGGUCUCUGUCAUGUACCUCUCUUCGGGGAGAACUUAUAGGGGAGACGACAUGCAACCAGCCUGGACUGAGGUCCGCGCAUCUGCUAGGAUGCUGGCGUAAUGGCUGUAAGCGGCCCGUCUUGAAACACGGACCAAGGAGUCUAACAUCUAUGCGAGUGUUUGGGUGUCAAGCCCGAACGCGUAAUGAAAGUGAACGGAGGUGGGAACCUUUCGGGGUGCACCAUCGACCGAUCCUGAUGUCUUCGGAUGGAUUUGAGUAAGAGCAUAGCUGUUGGGGACCCGAAAGAUGGUGAACUAUGCUUGAAUAGGGUGAAGCCAAAGGAAACUCUGGUGGAGGCUCCGCAGCGGUUCUGACGUGCA
Molecule: ribosomal RNA, 800 nt
Filed under: Didymella azollae
Lineage: Eukaryota; Fungi; Ascomycota; Dothideomycetes; Pleosporales; Didymellaceae
Description: Didymella sp. AP-2020a partial large subunit ribosomal RNA
Rfam family: Eukaryotic large subunit ribosomal RNA
Source: RNAcentral